RNAcentral lists this ribosomal RNA (424 nucleotides) under Halomonas sp. S2-5. Its description in RNAcentral is "bacterial LSU rRNA". It matches the Rfam family "Bacterial large subunit ribosomal RNA", at positions 1 to 474 of the family's 2925-position model. Lineage: Bacteria; Pseudomonadati; Pseudomonadota; Gammaproteobacteria; Oceanospirillales; Halomonadaceae. The record is from RNAcentral. RNAcentral also lists the same sequence under 1 other name.
GGUCAAGCGAUGAAGCGCAUACGGUGGAUGCCUAGGCAGCCAGAGGCGAUGAAGGACGUUGUAGCCUGCGAAAAGGCUCGGUGAGGUGGCAAACAACCUGCGACCCGGGCAUGUCCGAAUGGGGAAACCCACUCAUCACAAGAUGAGUAUCCCGCACUGAAUUCAUAGGUGCGGGAGGCGAACCGGGGGAACUGAAACAUCUAAGUACCCCGAGGAAAAGAAAUCAACCGAGAUUCCCUCAGUAGCGGCGAGCGAACGGGGACCAGCCCUUAAGUCAAUGCACGGUUAGGUGAACGGCCUGGAAAGGCCGGCCAUAGUGGGUGAUAGCCCCGUAACCGAAAACCCGCAUUGGUGAAAUCGAGUAGGUCGGGGCACGUGAAACCUUGACUGAAGACGGGGGGACCAUCCUCCAAGGCUAAAUACU